This is a long non-coding RNA of Octopus sinensis (East Asian common octopus), 2261 nucleotides long. RefSeq lists it as uncharacterized. NCBI's taxonomy places the organism in Eukaryota, Metazoa, Mollusca, Cephalopoda, Octopoda, Octopodidae. The record is from RefSeq and is a predicted model, not a curated record. The transcript has 2 exons.
AUAUAUAUAUAUAUAUAUAUAUGCACACACACCUAAAUGUUUGUAUAUAUAUAAAAUGCAUCUAAGUAUAUGUUCAUGCACAUGUAUUUUAUAUAUAACGUGUGUGUGUGUGUAUACAUAGUGUGACAUUUUGACUGCAUAUAGUUGAUCUACUUGCUGUCCCUCUUCCCUUGCCAUCUUUAAUGUUGUGCAUGCAUAUCACCACAUCACCAUAUUUUGGACAUAAAUUGAGAUCUAAAUGCAUGUUUGCUUUGUUUCUUCCUCAACUGUGAAUAAACCAAAAGAAUAUUUUACACACAAUGAAAUGUGUAACCAAAAAAAAAAUAAAAUAAAAAUAAUAAUAAUGAUGAUGAUGAUGAUGAUGAUGAUAAGGACAACACCAAUAACAAGACUAUUGAAAAAAAAUCUAUCCAAGACUGUGUAAUACAUAAACAUUGUCACUUUUAAUCAACUUUUAUUUCUUUCAAAAAAAAAAAAAAUGUUUUUUGGGUUUUUUUUUUUUUAACCCUCAUCUCUGUCUCUCUGUGUGUGGCCCACUUCUGAUAUCAGAGAGUCAUAAAGAUAUCAUCCUCAUUGUUACUACCACUAUUACUUCAACAACUAAUGCCAAUAUCAACACCGCCACCACCACCACCACCAAUAAUAAUAAAAUAAUAAUAAUAAUAAUAAUAAUAACAACCACAACAACAGGUAUGUUGCACCCCAAUCCUCAUAUCACUGUGUUAACUCAUUAUACCGGUUUUGCUCAAUAUGUGAUAUGAGGAGGGACGUUUAAGAAGUGUCUGUUACCGGAGUUCUGUUUUGUCUUAUUUCUACCUGGUUUUAAUUCUAUUUACCUAUUUAAUUACUCUCUCUCUCUUUUUUACAAAUGCCUUUUCCAUAAUUCUUGUUCAAUUUUUAACUAAUAUUAUAGCAUUAUUUUGGUGUCUCAUUAUGUUUUCUCUUGAUUAUUUUUUGAUUAGUCUUUCUCCUUCGCUUCAGAAAAUCUCAUAUAAAUGAUGGUGGAACUGUAUCAAAACAAGGGUCAGAAGAACAGCCUCCCCCCCGCCACUGACUUUUUUUUAAGAUUUUUUUUUUUAGUUGUGUUUAUUUUUCUAUACUUAAUAUUCAGUUGUAAAUAUUUCACAAGCUGUACAUUUUUUGGAAACGUCCUUAAAAUACUUCCUCCUUGCUCAAUUACAAGUCCUAGUUUAUUCGUUCAAAUGUGGAACUGUCAAAAUUUCCUCCACUGGCUGAUAAUGAAGACUUUACAUAUAGAGAGCACAAGCACACACACACACACACACACACACACAUAUAUAUACUUUUGGCUUUAAUAGUGUAUUUUAUUUUAAGACUAUUUUCUAACAUUUAAAAAUAAUAUAUUAAAGUGUUCAUUUGAAUGCCAGUAUAAUUGAUUACUUCAUUUUAUCUGUUUAGUAAUAAUAAGAUACUAAUUAAAUUCGAGGCUUAUUUUUAUUACUCUUCUCAUUUCUCUACCAAAUAUACUAUACUACACUUGUACCAUUUAUUAGUGUGUGUGUGUGUAUAAUAUAUAUAUAUAUAUAUAUAUAUAGAUGUAUAUGACAUUUUCAGUUAUCAAAGAAUGCAGCUUGAUGAAGUAAUCCAUUACAACAUUAAUAUGUGAGCUUUAAAUCUAGUUUUUUUUUUGUUUUUUUUUCCUCCUUCCACUUCUUUCUCCGUUUCUUUUAAUUGUAUCAAAAUUUUCGGCAGAAAGCUUUAACUUUGAGAAGUGGUGUUUGGUAUCUCCAGUUUUAGCUUAGUUGCUGUUUGAAGGUGUGGAAGGCUGGGCUGUCAUAAGUUCUUCUAUCUAUAUUACUCUAAACAGUUAAGUUAUUGUUUAACCCCAGGUCAGUCCUAUGAUCAAAGGUCUUCUUGCCAGAACCAUCCCAUCUUUACAGACAGUUUAUCUCAGACUACUUCAUUUUAUUUGUUUAAAGGCAGUAAGAGUAUAACUUAGUUACAUCUAGUAAGUCACACAACCCUGUCGAGGCUCCUACAUUGGUUCAACAUAAUUUUAUUUUGUAUUCAAGGUCAAAGUAAACAGUUUAAGUCUUAAAAAAUCUCUCUCUGUUUUAAGUGUUUCUAGUUCUCAUUUUGUCUACAGUUUAUAAAAUUAAAUAUCGCCCUCUAAGUUGGUACUAGACGUUAUCACGUUACUGAACUUGCUAUUACAGAAAAUACAUUCAUUUUAUUGUCUUAUUAAAAUUUUUUUAGGAAGGGUAGAGGGCCUGUUAGAAUUUAAGUUUUAUUAUUUUCAU